RNAcentral lists this ribosomal RNA (479 nucleotides) under uncultured bacterium. RNAcentral's name for it is "partial 16S ribosomal RNA". It matches the Rfam family "Bacterial small subunit ribosomal RNA", at positions 28 to 507 of the family's 1533-position model. The record is from RNAcentral.
GAUGAACGCUAGCGGGAGGCCUAACACAUGCAAGCCGAGCGGUAUUUGUUCUUCGGAGCAGAGAGAGCGGCGCACGGGUGCGGAACACGUGUGCAACCUGCCUUUAUCUGGGGGAUAGCCUUUCGAAAGGAAGAUUAAUACCCCAUAAUAUAUUGAGUGGCAUCACUUGAUAUUGAAAACUCCGGUGGAUAGAGAUGGGCACGCGCAAGAUUAGAUAGUUGGUGAGGUAACGGCUCACCAAGUCAAUGAUCUUUAGGGGGCCUGAGAGGGUGAUCCCCCACACUGGUACUGCGACACGGACCAGACUCCUACGGGAGGCAGCAGUGAGGAAGAUUGGACAAUGGGGUAGCGCCUGAUCCAGCCAUCCCGCGUGAAGGACGACGGCCCUAUGGGUUGUAAACUUCUUUUGUAUAGGGAUAAACCUACUCUCGUGAGAGUAGCUGAAGGUACUAUACGAAUAAGCACCGGCUAACUCCGUG